GUGACGUUCGCGUAGCGGUCUAUCGCGUCGGAUUCAAGUUUUGUCGAAUCCCGAUGGACUCUAGUCCUCGUGAGUUCGAAUCUCACACGCCACA
RNAcentral lists this transfer RNA (94 nucleotides) under Tremellales sp. Tagirdzhanova-0007. RNAcentral describes it as "tRNA-Leu". It matches the Rfam family "tRNA". From Rfam's summary of the family: Transfer RNA (tRNA) molecules are approximately 80 nucleotides in length. Their secondary structure includes four short double-helical elements and three loops (D, anti-codon, and T loops). Further hydrogen bonds mediate the characteristic L-shaped molecular structure. tRNAs have two regions of fundamental functional importance: the anti-codon, which is responsible for specific mRNA codon recognition, and the 3' end, to which the tRNAs corresponding amino acid is attached (by aminoacyl-tRNA synthetases). tRNAs cope with the degeneracy of the genetic code in two manners: having more than one tRNA (with a specific anti-codon) for a particular amino acid; and 'wobble' base-pairing, i.e. permitting non-standard base-pairing at the 3rd anti-codon position. Lineage: Eukaryota; Fungi; Basidiomycota; Tremellomycetes; Tremellales. The record is from RNAcentral.